This 3171-nucleotide unclassified non-coding RNA is filed under the name Actinia tenebrosa (Australian red waratah sea anemone). RNAcentral describes it as "alpha-1A adrenergic receptor-like, transcript variant X7". The record is from RNAcentral. Lineage: Eukaryota; Metazoa; Cnidaria; Anthozoa; Actiniaria; Actiniidae.
CAAGAUUCGAAUUUGGAGAGCAUUGAAGUAGAAAGAUAAAGGCGAAGAAAGGAGACGAGGUGAAAAACAUCAAAAAGCUUUAAAGAGGUUAAUCGAGAAUAUUGCACUCGCCUUGGUUAAAAUAACAAGUGCUGUGACAAGGACAUAAAAGGACGACGGAAGAGAACCUCAACGUAAACAAGCCACCUAGACGCGAUUACGAACUCCAAAGGCCAAAAAUCAAUGAGGUCAUAGAGGCACUUCAGUGACAAGAGCUGCCGUACUGUGAUUUGUCAGCCAAAGGGCUUUGGAUUCGAUUCCUGAACGAAGCAUCACAUCGAUAGCGCUACAGAUCAAAGAGAUACCAAAGUGUCACAUUUUGCUCAUCACUAAGGAUUGAAGACUGUUGAACGAGAAAUUAACCAAGUGAAAGGAAACUGAACAACUAUAUGAAACCACUGGUGAUGCAUUGUACAGGAUAUAAAGAAACUUUAAUUAAGCAGAGUUGGAUAUUAUAGUUUGAUUCGUGGUAAAAGAAGACGAAGAAGAGAAGAGCACACUGAUCUGGGAAUAAACAGGAAUAUAUUUUAAAAAGCAGAAAUUCCCUCAAGAUAAGUAUCUUCGUUUAGAUUGUGUACUGAAAAAAAAUUCGUUAUAAGAUCUAUUCUCUAAAAGGAUUGUGGCAACAAUUGAAUUUAUUCGUGUUUGGCCUCCAAGAAAAGCCCAAUAGCCUGCAGCAAAAUUCUACGAAGUGGUCUCAGUCUCUCUGAGUGAUAUCAUAGAGAUCAUAGAGCAAGAUAUCAAAAACACCGUCUGAUUUAUCUACCUAGCUCUUGAGUUUCGAAGCCAAAAGGUACGUUUCACAGGAAAAAAUAUGAAUGAAACAAACAGUGGAAAUGUUGAUUCCAACGCUAGUUUCAGAUAUCCCGUUCCGAUACAGACAGCAGAAGCCAUCAUUUCUGCAACCUUCAUCUGCGUUCUCAUCAUCUUUACUCUGUUAGCGAACAUAUUCGUGUGCUUCGCUACUCUCCGUUUCGACUGCAUCCGUCCGCUUACUAACUACUUCAUCGUCAAUCUUUGUAUUGCUGACAUUCUAAUCGCGGUCAUCAGCAUGCCAGUGUACGUUUUGGUCCAGGUUUACGGCAACAACGCAAUUCAGAUACUUCUUGGGGGAAAAUUCCUAAGCUUUUGGGGAUGUAUGGAUAUAUUUUGUGGAACGGCAUCUAUCCUUAGUCUAAGUUGUAUAAGUGUUGACAGAUACUUAGCAAUAACCCGUCCAUUAAAGUACGUGCGUUGCAUGACUUGGAGAAGGGGGUUCGUCAUGAUUAUUGCUGUUUGGUGUUACGCGGGAACCGUAGCGUUUUUAAGGCAACCUAUGACUUACAACCAAAACCAAAGGAAAGUUUACGCCUUGUUUGUGUUCGCCGCAAGUUUCCUCCUCCCAUUAAUCGUCAUCGUGGUUUCCUACAGCAAGAUUUUCUGCGUUGCACAGAAGCACGCACGGGACAUUGUCAGAAGAUCGAGUAUUUCCCAGGAGGAAAAGUUCAAACGAGUCUCACGUGACCUUAAAGCUGCCAAGACCAUUUCCGUCGUGAUAGGAACAUUUGUGUGUUUUUGGGCUCCAUUCAUAGUGGUCAGUGUGUGCUACUCGUUUAAUGUGUGGGUGGACUUUAUCUUUGCUAACAUUGUUAAAUGGUUGGCAUACAUUAAUGCGUUGCUUAAUCCUCUGGUAUAUUCCUGUGUGGACAAGCAGCUACGAAGUCUGGUCAUUAAGAUCGUGGUCUGCAAAGGAAGACGUGAUGAAGAGGCCCAAAUGCCCUUGCGCGCAGUUUGAGUCGUGUUUCAAGGACAAGUGUGGUCCAUGUAUCGUGAUUCAAGUCAACAGAUUCACUGAUACUUGAGACAAUAACGAGUCAUACGUUAUUGCAUGCAAUAUCAUAGCGACAAAGGGCUUGGAAUAGAUGGGACGGUAUUUGUACCCGUUGAGUCUUUGAACACUCUUAAAACGGAGCACCAAUGGAGAGAGGAGGUAAAGUGCGCACCGUUAACUUCAGGAGAUAACCAGCCAACGUAGGUGAAGGAAUUAAGGACGUUAAACAUGAAUACUUUACCUUUGCCUGGAUGAUGCAUUCUGAUUGGCUGCCAAAAAUUUAUAUGUAACUUUAAUUGCUAAUAACUGAAUACAAUAUCCUUAUGCUUUACAAAUCGCUGCUGCUAUAUUAUGUCGCGUAGGAUGCAAUUGCAUCUCAAGAGAAGUAGCAUGCCAGUAUAGCAGCCGUCUGCAUGUAUUGCUAUGUUUCAAUCAACUGAUAAAACUCUUUGAAUCCCAUUCUCUGCUUCAAAUGGUAGCAAAUACUGACCAACAUUAGCUGUCAGCCACAAAGAAUCCUAUCGAAAGCUUGUGAUUCAGUUAAUGAACAUUCCACACGAGACAAGAAAUGACGUCAAGUGCCCCAGCCAUCCGCAAAAAAACUUCAUUUUCGUAUUACAAACAGGAUAUUAAUCAGAACGCAUGCGCUGUUUAUAAAAUGGUUUCAAGACGAAGGAAGUUGGAUGAUGUUUAUGGAUUUUAAGUACUUAAAAUCAAUCAAGCCUGCGGUCCUCAACUUGGAACCUUUCACUCAAGUAAAUUCGGAAAAGAACUAUUUUAGGAUUUUUUAAGUAAUGGCUCACUUACUUUAACAUUUAAUUCAAACAACGGGGUUGGGAUUUGUCUGUAUAGCAAUGAAAGGAGUUCGGGGGAGGGGAGGGAAGAGGGAUGAAAAUCACUCGAUCCCAGCCCCCGUCUCCAUUUGCCGAUUUUCCAGACGAAAUUUUGAAUUUGUUUGAGUUGUAUCUAUAUCCAUGCGUCCUCUCAUUUGUAAACAUUAAACAAAGAAUGAUACGAGGUCUGAAAUGGCAAAACAUUACGAUCAAGCUAAUUAGGUCUAUUGAUUUAAGCGAAAAUUAAAAAGGAAGUUAAAGUAGUUGUAAUAAAAAAACGCACAAAAACAUGCAAAACUUACCGAAUACGUGCAUUUAUUCCCCGAUCACGUGUUUUUGUGUCACGUCCUUCACGUGACGUGCUCUCGUCCAAUAGAAAGUGAGUUUGACCAGGAGAGGUCUACCAAUUUGUUCUUGUUUUCUUACAUUCAUAUAUUAACGUAUACAUGCAACACUUAAUUGCAAAAUCAAAGUGGAGUUCAAAACAUG